CAUUCAGCAAAACCUCAUACAUAGAAAAAAAGAAAGUCACACAGGUCUGGAAAGACAUGAAGUGAGUUGCAAUCCAAAAAGACUUAACAAAGCGCCCUGAAAAGAGUUGGAUGUUGCAUAAGGAUAAAUGAGACGGCAGAGAAGGAAAGCCAAAUACAGGAACACAACAGAGGGGGAUAUAUUAUCAAAGCAUGUGUUGACUUAAAAAAGAAAGAGAGAGUGAUUUCAACACAGGAA
This is a non-coding RNA of Pimephales promelas (fathead minnow), 237 nucleotides long. The record is from RefSeq and is a predicted model, not a curated record. NCBI's taxonomy places the organism in Eukaryota, Metazoa, Chordata, Actinopteri, Cypriniformes, Leuciscidae.